GACGAACGCUGGCGGCGUGCUUAACACAUGCAAGUCGAACGGUGAAGCGCCUUCCUUUUUGGUGGGUGUGGAUGAGUGGCGAACGGGUGAGUAACACGUGAGUAACCUGCCCCCUUCUUCUGGAUAACCGCAUGAAAGUGUGGCUAAUACGGGAUAUUCUGGGUCUGUCGCAUGAUGGGUCUGGGAAAGAUAUUGUUUCGGUGGGGGAUGGGCUCGCGGCCUAUCAGCUUGUUGGUGGGGUGAUGGCCUACCAAGGCGGUGACGGGUAGCCGGCCUGAGGGGGUGGACGGUCACACUGGGACUGAGACACGGCCCAGACUCCUACGGGAGGCAGCAGUGGGGAAUAUUGCACAAUGGGCGCAAGCCUGAUGCAGCGACGCCGCGUGAGGGAUGGAGGCCUGCGGGUUGUGAACCUCUUUCGCCAGUGAAGCAGGCCUGCCUCGUUUGUGGGUGGGUUGACGGUAGCUGGAUAAGAAGCGCUGGCUAACUACGUG
This 494-nucleotide ribosomal RNA is filed under the name uncultured bacterium. RNAcentral describes it as "partial 16S ribosomal RNA". It matches the Rfam family "Bacterial small subunit ribosomal RNA", at positions 28 to 507 of the family's 1533-position model. The record is from RNAcentral.